GGAGAGGUGCUAGAGCGGUCGAAUAGGGCACCCUGCUAAGGUGUUAGGUCUUCACGGGCCUCGAGGGUUCGAAUCCCUCCCUCUCCG
RNAcentral lists this transfer RNA (87 nucleotides) under Candidatus Moraniibacteriota bacterium. RNAcentral describes it as "Candidatus Moranbacteria bacterium tRNA-Ser". It matches the Rfam family "tRNA". Rfam says of the family: Transfer RNA (tRNA) molecules are approximately 80 nucleotides in length. Their secondary structure includes four short double-helical elements and three loops (D, anti-codon, and T loops). RNAcentral also lists the same sequence under 1 other name. Lineage: Bacteria; Candidatus Moraniibacteriota. The record is from RNAcentral.